GAUCCUGGCUCAGAUUGAACGCUGGUGGCAGGCCUAACACAUGCAAGUCGAGCGGAAUCGAGUGAGCACAGUUUACUGAGUUCAUGUCGGCGAGCGGCGGACGGGUGAGUAAAGUCUGGGAAUCUGGCCGACGGAGGGGGAUAACUGCUGGAAACGGCAGCUAAUACCGCAUGAAGUCGUGAGACCAAAGUGGGGGACCUUCGGGCCUCACGCCGUCGGAUGAGCCCAG
RNAcentral lists this ribosomal RNA (229 nucleotides) under uncultured bacterium. Its description in RNAcentral is "partial 16S ribosomal RNA". It matches the Rfam family "Bacterial small subunit ribosomal RNA", at positions 15 to 234 of the family's 1533-position model. The record is from RNAcentral.